This 207-nucleotide ribosomal RNA is filed under the name uncultured Acidobacteriota bacterium. RNAcentral's name for it is "uncultured Acidobacteria bacterium partial 16S ribosomal RNA". It matches the Rfam family "Bacterial small subunit ribosomal RNA", at positions 568 to 774 of the family's 1533-position model. Lineage: Bacteria; Pseudomonadati; Acidobacteriota. The record is from RNAcentral.
CUCGUAGGCGGCCGACUAAGUCAGACGUGAAAUCCCUCGGCUUAACCGGGGAACUGCGUCUGAUACUGGCCGGCUUGAAUCCGGGAGAGGGAUGCGGAAUUCCAGGUGUAGCGGUGAAAUGCGUAGAUAUCUGGAGGAACACCGGUGGCGAAGGCGGCAUCCUGGACCGGCAUUGACGCUGAGGAGCGAAAGCCAGGGGAGCAAACG